Molecule: ribosomal RNA, 497 nt
Filed under: uncultured bacterium
Lineage: Bacteria
Description: partial 16S ribosomal RNA
Rfam family: Bacterial small subunit ribosomal RNA
Source: RNAcentral
GAUGAACGCUGGCGGCGUGCCUAAUACAUGCAAGUCGAGCGAACAGAUGAGGAGCUUGCUCCUCUGACGUUAGCGGCGGACGGGUGAGUAACACGUGGAUAACCUACCUAUAAGGCUGGGAUAACUUCGGGAAACCGGAGCUAAUACCGGAUAAUAUAUUUAACCGCAUGGUUCAAUAGUGAAAGACGGUUUUGCUGUCACUUAUAGAUGGAUCCGCGCCGCAUUAGCUAGUUGGUAAGGUAACGGCUUACCAAGGCAACGAUGCGUAGCCGACCUGAGAGGGGGAUCGGCCACCCUGGAACGGGAACGCGGUCCAGACUCCUACGGGAGGCAGCAGAAGGGAAUCGUCCGCAAGGGGCGAAAGCCUGACGGAGCAACGCCGCGUGAGUGAUGAAGGUCUUCGGAUCGUAAAACUCUGUUAUUAGGGAAGAACAAAUGUGUAAGUAACUAUGCACGUCUUGACGGUACCUAAUCAGAAAGCCACGGCUAACUACGUG